GUCGGCGGUUGGCUCCGAAUUUGACCUGCGGACACUGAGAGCAGUCAGGGUUCUGCGACCACUUAGUUGGUGUCAGGGAUUCCCAGCCUGCAGGUGGUACUCAAGUCCAUCAUGAAGUGCUAUGAUCCCCCUGCUGCAGAUCGGACUGCUUCUCUUUGUGGCAUUCUGAUGUUCCAUCAUCGCCUUGAGUUCUAUAUGGGAAAGUUCCACACACCUGUUUUCGACAUCGCCACUGAUGAGAUUUAUGAUGAGUUGCCAUGCGGUACAGAGUUACCGUCCAGAUUGUGUCCUAAUGGGACCACGUGUAAAGGCUAUUGGCUGGGGCCCAACUAUGGGAUCACCCAUUCGACAACAUUCUCUUUGCUGUCCUCACUGUAUUCCAAUGUAUCACCAUGGAGGGUUGGACCGACAUGUU
Long non-coding RNA from Salvelinus sp. IW2-2015, 415 nucleotides. RefSeq lists it as uncharacterized. NCBI's taxonomy places the organism in Eukaryota, Metazoa, Chordata, Actinopteri, Salmoniformes, Salmonidae. The record is from RefSeq and is a predicted model, not a curated record.